This 416-nucleotide ribosomal RNA is filed under the name Theileria annulata. RNAcentral's name for it is "SSU rRNA". It matches the Rfam family "Eukaryotic small subunit ribosomal RNA", at positions 468 to 924 of the family's 1831-position model. Lineage: Eukaryota; Apicomplexa; Aconoidasida; Piroplasmida; Theileriidae. The record is from RNAcentral.
UGACAAGAAAUAACAAUACGGGGCUUAAAGUCUUGUAAUUGGAAUGAUGGGAAUUUAAACCUCUUCCAGAGUAUCAAUUGGAGGGCAAGUCUGGUGCCAGCAGCCGCGGUAAUUCCAGCUCCAAUAGCGUAUAUUAAAAUUGUUGCAGUUAAAAAGCUCGUAGUUGAAUUUCUGCUGCAUUGCUUGUGUCCCUCUGGGGUCUGUGCAUGUGGCUUUUUUCGGACGGAGUUUCUUUGUCUGAAUGUUUACUUUGAGAAAAUUAGAGUGCUCAAAGCAGGCUUUCGCCUUGAAUAGUUUAGCAUGGAAUAAUAAAGUAGGACUUUGGUUCUAUUUUGUUGGUUUUAGGUACCAAAGUAAUGGUUAAUAGGAACAGUUGGGGGCAUUCGUAUUUAACUGUCAGAGGUGAAAUUCUUAGA